Molecule: long non-coding RNA, 820 nt
Filed under: Lytechinus variegatus (green sea urchin)
Lineage: Eukaryota; Metazoa; Echinodermata; Echinoidea; Temnopleuroida; Toxopneustidae
Description: uncharacterized LOC121415565
Source: RNAcentral
CGUAUACGUAAGCUCCCGAAGGGAGCUAGAGAGGUAACUCUUUUCGCGCGUUUUUAUUUCCCAUAGGUUUUGUACACAGCCAAUAUGGCUGCCGGCGGACAAUUUGAAGGGUGAUUUUGGAGGGUCAAUGUUUUAUUCAUAAGAAUGACGUCAAAUUACGCAAAAUACACUUCUAUGAUUGGCUAAGAAGCUAAUGUUUUAUUCAUAUAUUAUGAAUUAAACACGUUUUUUCCUUCCCACAAUUCCCUACGAGAUCUGUGCGAAGUGUUGUUCUUUUGGACUCUGCGAAUUUCCAGUUUUUACAACGAAAUAGCUCGACUAAUCAUCUGUUUAUAGAAUUGAUGUUCGAAAUCGUGAUUUCGGAGUGAACUUCAUUGGAGCAGAAAAUCUUGGAGGGAACAUCAAUAUUAAUUUAAUGACAUUCCAUAAGAAUAAAAAUCCAAUAGGACGAAGAUCUUAGCAGUUCACACCCGGUCAGAGGGACAAAAUUGAGAACCAUGCAGAUCAGCUGCAAGUGUGAGUUACACUCUAAUGAGGAACAGGACAUCUGAAUUGGUUGGAAAAUUGCAAGGUUUCCCACUGUCCAAGCUGUUUAAGUACUGGUAUCACAAGUACCAAGAUGGAAGAUAUAUGAAGGCCAAGCUAAUAAGUAGUUACUUCAAAUUAAUUUGAAUAGAUAUAUCAACAAAGCAGUGAAUGUUCUUUAAACUGCACAUCUGUAGAAAAGAGUUCAGGUUCAUCAGUGGGCAAUGACAUUAAAGUAUACAAAAUUUCACACAAAAUACAAGGAAGAAAUAUUUUUUUUCCAAUGGGCAAAUGU